CAUGGCCUUUUGUUAAUAAAAUUUAAGGUCUAACCUGCCCAAUGAUGAUUUUUAUUUAAUGGCCGCGGUAUUUUGACCGUGCAAAGGUAGCAUAAUCAUUAGUUUUUUAAUUGAAAGCUGGAAUGAAGGGUUGAAUGAGAAAAUAACUGUCUUUAUAAUAUUUAAUUAUAAUUUUAUUUUUAAGUUAAAAAGCUUAAAUUAAAUUUAUAGACGAGAAGACCCUUUAGAGUUUUAUAAAAAAUAAUAUAAAAUUUUUUAGUAAUAAUUUAAUUUUAUUAAAUUUUUUAUUUGAUUGGGGUGAUUAAAAAAUUUAAAUAACUUUUUUUUAUAUAAAACAUUAAUAUAUGAAUAAUUGAUCCAUUUUUUAUGAUUAUAAGAUUAAAUUACCUAAGGGAUAACAGCGUUAUUUUUUUUGAGAGUUCUAAUCGAAAAAAAAGUUUGCGACCUCGAUGUUGGAUUAAAAUUAAAUUAUGGUGUAGAGGCUAUAACCGCA
Molecule: ribosomal RNA, 493 nt
Filed under: Thymogethes norvegicus
Lineage: Eukaryota; Metazoa; Arthropoda; Insecta; Coleoptera; Nitidulidae
Description: partial 16S ribosomal RNA
Source: RNAcentral